RNAcentral lists this ribosomal RNA (873 nucleotides) under uncultured crenarchaeote. RNAcentral describes it as "bacterial SSU rRNA". It matches the Rfam family "Archaeal small subunit ribosomal RNA", at positions 24 to 904 of the family's 1478-position model. The record is from RNAcentral. Lineage: Archaea; Thermoproteati; Thermoproteota.
UGACUGCUAUCGGAUUGGUACUAAGCCAUGCGAGUCGUUGUAGCAAUACAAGGCGGACGGCUCAGUAACACGUAGUCAACCUAACCUAUGGACGUGGAUAACCUCGGGAAACUGAGAAUAAACCGCGAUAGAUCAUUAUGCCUGGAAUGGCUUAUGGUUCAAACAAUUUAUUGCCGUAGGAUGGGACUGCGGCCUAUCAGCUUGUUGGUGAGGUAAUGGCCCACCAAGGCUAUAACAGGUACGGGCUCUGAGAGGAGAAGCCCGGAGAUGGGUACUGAGACACGGACCCAGGCCCUAUGGGGCGCAGCAGGCGAGAAACCUUAGCAAUGUGCGAAAGCACGACUAGGUUAAUCCGAGUGAUUUCUGUUGAAGAAAUCUUUUGUCAGUCGUAAAACCACAGACGAAUAAGGGGUGGGCAAGUCUGGUGUCAGCCGCCGCGGUAAUACCAGCACCUCGAGUGGUCAGGAGGUUUAUUGGGCCUAAAGCAUCCGUAGCCGGCUUUGCAAGUCUUCGGUUAAAUCCACCUGCUCAACAGAUGGGCUGCUGGAGAUACUACAGAGCUAGGGAGUGGGAGAGGCAGACGGUAUUCAGUGGGUAGGGGUAAAAUCCUCUGAUCCAUUGAGGACCACCAGUGGCGAAGGCGGUCUGCCAGAACACGUUCGACGGUGAGGGAUGAAAGCUGGGGGAGCAAACCGGACUAGAUACCCGGGUAGUCCCAGCUGUAAACGAUGCAAACUCGGUGAUGCAUUGGCUUAUGGCCAAUGCAGUGCCGCAGGGAAGCCGUUAAGUUUGCCGCCUGGGAAGUACGGACGCAAGUCUGAAACUUAAAGGAACUGGCGGGGGAGCACCACAAGGGGUGAAGCCUGCGGUUCA